This 253-nucleotide ribosomal RNA is filed under the name uncultured bacterium. Its description in RNAcentral is "partial 16S ribosomal RNA". It matches the Rfam family "Bacterial small subunit ribosomal RNA", at positions 524 to 776 of the family's 1533-position model. The record is from RNAcentral.
UACGUAGGGUGCAAGCGUUGUCCGGAAUUAUUGGGCGUAAAGAGCUCGUAGGCGGCUUGUCGCGUCGACUGUGAAAACCCGCGGCUCAACUGCGGGCCUGCAGUCGAUACGGGCAGGCUAGAGUUCGGUAGGGGAGACUGGAAUUCCUGGUGUAGCGGUGAAAUGCGCAGAUAUCAGGAGGAACACCUGUGGCGAAAGCGACUCUCUGGACGGCAACUGACGCUGAGGCACGAAAGCGUGGGGAGCAAACAGG